Molecule: non-coding RNA, 739 nt
Organism: Callithrix jacchus (white-tufted-ear marmoset)
Lineage: Eukaryota; Metazoa; Chordata; Mammalia; Primates; Cebidae
Source: the annotation of a RefSeq genome assembly
AUGUGCAGCUCUGCCCUGGAGUUGGCUAAGGGAGGAGUCAGGGCCGGUGGUGAGAAGCGCAGGCCCAGAUACCAGCACUCGCUCAUCCCAGACAUGAACCCUGAGAUACCUACGGAGCCCGUCCAUGGUGUCUCUGUGUUUGCAGGUGUCCAGUGUGAGGUGCAGCUGGUGGAGUCUGGGGGAGGCUUGGUUCAGCCCGGGGGGUCCCUGAGACUCUCCUGUGCAGCCUCUGGAUUCACCUUCAGCAGCUAUAGCAUGAAUUGGGUCCGCCAGGCUCCAGGGAAGGGGCUGGAGUGGGUUUCAUACAUUAGAUAUGAUGGUAGGUAGCACAUACUACGCAGACUCCGUGAAGGGCCGAUUCACCAUCUCCAGAGACAACGCCAAGAACUCGCUGUAUCUGCAGAUGAACAGCCUGAGAGCCGAGGACACGGCCGUGUAUUACUGUGCGAGAGACAGGGAAGUCAGUGUGAGCCCGGACACAAACCUCCUGCAGGGGACCCCGCGACCACCAGGGGGGCGCCCGGGCGCUGUGCACGGGGCUGUCUCGGGCAGAAAGUCCGGAAUAUCACUGAGUCUUCUGCAAGGCAAAGCUGCCCCUCAGGAAACCCCCAAGACCCCCAGCAGGGGCUCUGGCUCAGAUGAGUGCAGAGAUCACUCUCUUCCUGAGAAUGGAGCACAGGACAUGGGCUUCGGCAUGAGCCACGUCGUGCACAUCGGAGAGCAGCAGCCAGAUGCAUGA